AUUGUUCAUCGAAAUUUCAUAAAGUACCUUAAGUCCAUAAAAUGUGUACAUUGCAUAUUCAAUUGUAUGCAAUAGUGCUUCAUUUAUUUAAUCGAAUGAAGUACUUUUCUAAAUUACUUCAAAUUAUAUAACAGACUUGAACAUAAAAUUAAAUUUCUGUUUUAGGCAACUAUGGUGGCAGUGGAAGCUACAAUGAUUUUGGCAACUACAGUGGACAGCAGGCCUCAAGUUAUGGACCCAUGAAAGGAAGUGGCAGUUUCAGUGGCAGAAGUUCAGGCAGUCCCUACGGUGGUAAAUGCAACAUUAAAAUAUAUUCAGCUGGCUAGUAUCUUUCAACAAGAACUUGAAUAUAAACAGUUAUACUCCAUUUGUAGGUAACUAUGGAUCAGGUGGAGGAAGUGGUGGCUAUGGUGGAAGAAGAUUCUAAAAACUAGUGGGAUAAUGAUUGUUGAAGAAACCUCUGUGACCAGAGGUGGAUAUCUUACUGGAAAACUUGCUUGGUCUAAAAUUCUACCAUCCACGGUACUUCAGACAGCUGUUAUAGAGGCAAGAAAAUCAGUAACAUUCUCACCUGGAAUACUUGAUGUGCCCUCUAAAUUAAUUUUCAGGACUAUGAGUGGCAAAGAGCACCUAUGCUCCCUUUUUGUCUUAUGA
RNAcentral lists this long non-coding RNA (654 nucleotides) under Pseudonaja textilis. RNAcentral describes it as "lncRNA (ENSPTXG00000003597.1)". The record is from RNAcentral. Lineage: Eukaryota; Metazoa; Chordata; Lepidosauria; Squamata; Elapidae.